CGCGUAGGUGGUAGUGCAAGUCUGGGGUGGAAUCCCAGGGCUUAACCCUGGAACUGCCUUGGAAACUGUAUUACUUGAGUCAGUGAGGGGAGGGUAGAAUUCCUGGUGUAGCGGUGAAAUGCGUAGAUAUCAGGAGGAAGGCCUGUGGCGAAGGCGGCCUUCUGGCGCUGAACUGACACUGAGGCGCGAAAGCGUGGGGAGCAAACAGGAUUAGAUACCCUGGUAGUCCACGCCCUAAACGGUGGGUACUAGGUGUAGGGCUCGUAAGGGUUCUGUGCCGAAGCGAAAGCAUUAAGUACCCCGCCUGGGGAGUACGGCCGCAAGGUUGAA
This 330-nucleotide ribosomal RNA is filed under the name uncultured bacterium. Its description in RNAcentral is "bacterial SSU rRNA". It matches the Rfam family "Bacterial small subunit ribosomal RNA", at positions 568 to 898 of the family's 1533-position model. The record is from RNAcentral.